GAUGAACGCUGGCGGCGUGCCUAAUACAUGCAAGUCGAGCGAACGGACGAGAAGCUUGCUUCUCUGAUGUUAGCGGCGGACGGGUGAGUAACACUUGGAUAACCUACCUAUAAGACUGGGAUAACUUCGGGAAACCGGAGCUAAUACCGGAUAAUAUUUUGAACCGCAUGGUUCAAAAGUGAAAGACGGUCUUGCUGUCACUUAUAGAUGGAUCCGCGCUGCAUUAGCUAGUUGGUAAGGUAACGGCUUACCAAGGCAACGAUGUAUAGCCGACCUGAGAGGGUGAUCGGCCACACUGGAACUGAGACACGGUCCAGACUCCUACGGGAGGCAGCAGUAGGGAAUCUUCCGCAAUGGGCGAAAGCCUGACGGAGCAACGCCGCGUGAGUGAUGAAGGUCUUCGGACCGUAAAACUCUGUUAUUAGGGAAGAACAUAUGUGCAAGUAACUGUGCACAUCUUGACGGUACCUAAUCAGAAAGCCACGGCUAACUACGUG
Molecule: ribosomal RNA, 497 nt
Filed under: uncultured bacterium
Lineage: Bacteria
Description: partial 16S ribosomal RNA
Rfam family: Bacterial small subunit ribosomal RNA
Source: RNAcentral